This 389-nucleotide ribosomal RNA is filed under the name uncultured bacterium. RNAcentral's name for it is "bacterial SSU rRNA". It matches the Rfam family "Bacterial small subunit ribosomal RNA", at positions 53 to 488 of the family's 1533-position model. The record is from RNAcentral.
ACAUGCAAGUCGAACGCAGUAGCAAUACUGAGUGGCAAACGGGUGAGUAUAAUGUGGGAAUCUGCCUUUUGGUUUGGAAUAACACGGGGAAACUUGUGCUAAUACCAAAUAAGCCCUUACGGGGAAAGUUUUAAUGCCGAAAGAUGAGCCCGCACUUGAUUAGCUAGUUGGUAAGGUAAAAGCUUACCAAGGCAACGAUCAAUAGCUGUUCUUAGAGGAAGACCAGCCACAUUGGGACUGAGACACGGCCCAGACUCCUACGGGAGGCAGCAGUGGGGAAUCUUGCACAAUGGGGGAAACCCUGAUGCAGCGAUGCCGCGUGAGUGAAGAAGGCCCUUGGGUUGUAAAACUCUUUCGUCGGGGAAGAAAAUGACUGUACCCGAAUAAGA